AGCGAACGCUGGCGGCGUGCUUAACACAUGCAAGUCGAGUGCGCGUUUCCGUAGCAAUACGGAAAUGGCGCACGGCGCACGGGUGCGUAACACGUGGGUAAUCUGCCCUCUGAUGGGGAAUAACUCGCCGAAAGGCGAGCUAAUACCGCAUAACAUUCCUUGGACUCCGGUUCGAGGAUUCAAAGGCGUAAGUCGUCGGAGGUGGAGCCCGCGCACGAUUAGCUAGUUGGUGAGGUAAUGGCUCACCAAGGCUAUGAUCGUUAGCUGGUC
RNAcentral lists this ribosomal RNA (270 nucleotides) under uncultured bacterium. RNAcentral describes it as "partial 16S ribosomal RNA". It matches the Rfam family "Bacterial small subunit ribosomal RNA", at positions 29 to 292 of the family's 1533-position model. The record is from RNAcentral.